AGGACGAACGCUGGCGGCGUGCUUAACACAUGCAAGUCGAGCGGUAAGGCCUUUCGGGGUACACGAGCGGCGAACGGGUGAGUAACACGUGGGUGAUCUGCCCUGCACUUCGGGAUAAGCCUGGGAAACUGGGUCUAAUACCGGAUAUGACCUCCUAUCGCAUGGUGGGUGGUGGAAAGUAUUUAUCGGUGCAGGAUGGGCCCGCGGCCUAUCAGCUUGGUUGGUGGGGUAAUGGCCUACCGAAGGCGACGACGGGUAGCCGACCUGAGAGGGUGACCGGCCACACGUGGACUGACGACGACGGCCCAGACUCCUACGGGAGGCAGCGAGUAGGGGAAUAUUGCAACAAGUGGGACGAAAGCCUGAUGC
This 369-nucleotide ribosomal RNA is filed under the name uncultured soil bacterium. Its description in RNAcentral is "bacterial SSU rRNA". It matches the Rfam family "Bacterial small subunit ribosomal RNA", at positions 26 to 389 of the family's 1533-position model. The record is from RNAcentral.